GAUGAAGAACGCAGCGAAAUGCGAUAAGUAAUGUGAAUUGCAGAAUUCAGUGAAUCAUCGAAUCUUUGAACGCACAUUGCGCCCGUCAGUAUUCUGGCGGGCAUGCCUGUUCGAGCGUCAUUACGCCCCUCAAGUCCCCUGUGGACUUGGUGUUGGGGAUCGGCGAGGCUGGUUUUCCAGCACAGCCGUCCCUUAAAUUAAUUGGCGGUCUCGCCGUGGCCCUCCUCUGCGCAGUAGUAAAACACUCGCAACAGGAGCCCGGCGCGGUCCACUGCCGUAAAACCCCCCAACUUUUUAUAGUUGACCUCGAAUCAGGUAGGACUACCCGCCGAACUUAAGCAUAUCAAUAAGCGGAGGA
RNAcentral lists this unclassified non-coding RNA (358 nucleotides) under soil metagenome. RNAcentral describes it as "partial contains 5.8S ribosomal RNA, internal transcribed spacer 2, and large subunit ribosomal RNA". The stretch from base 1 to 120 matches the Rfam family "5.8S ribosomal RNA", at positions 35 to 154 of the family's 154-position model. The record is from RNAcentral.